Molecule: ribosomal RNA, 879 nt
Filed under: Calonarius aureofulvus
Lineage: Eukaryota; Fungi; Basidiomycota; Agaricomycetes; Agaricales; Cortinariaceae
Description: eukaryotic LSU rRNA
Rfam family: Eukaryotic large subunit ribosomal RNA (bases 651-879)
Source: RNAcentral
CUUGGUCAUUUAGAGGAAGUAAAAGUCGUAACAAGGUUUCCGUAGGUGAACCUGCGGAAGGAUCAUUAUUGAAGUAAACCUGAUAAGUUGCUGCUGGUUCUUUUGGGAGCAUGUGCACACUUGUCAUCUUUAUAUCUUCACCUGUGCACCUUUUGUAGACCUGAGUAUCUCUCUGGAUGCUUUUUAGCACUCAGGAUUUGAGGAUUGACUUUUUUGUCUCUUCUUCACAUUUUCAGGUCUAUGUUUCUUCAUAUACCCUAUGUAUGUUAAUAGAAUGUCAUUAAUGGGCCUUUGUGCCUAUACAAAUUACAACUUUCAGCAACGGAUCUCUUGGCUCUCGCAUCGAUGAAGAACGCAGCGAAAUGCGAUAAGUAAUGUGAAUUGCAGAAUUCAGUGAAUCAUCGAAUCUUUGAACGCACCUUGCGCUCCUUGGUAUUCCGAGGAGCAUGCCUGUUUGAGUGUCAUUAAUAUAUCAACCUUCUUUGGUUGGAUGUGGGUUUGCUGGCCUCUUGAGGUCAGCUUUCCUCAAAUGCAUUAGCGGACAACAUUUGCCAACCGUUUAUUGGUGUGAUAAUUAUCUACGCUAUUGACGUGAAGCAAGGUUCAGCUUCUAAAUGUCCAUUGACUUGGACAAAUUUAUUUUAUUAAUGUGACCUCAAAUCAGGUAGGACUACCCGCUGAACUUAAGCAUAUCAAUAAGCGGAGGAAAAGAAACUAACAAGGAUUCCCCUAGUAACUGCGAGUGAAGCGGGAAAAGCUCAAAUUUAAAAUCUGGCAGUCUUUGGCUGUCCGAGUUGUAAUCUAGAGAAGUAUUAUCCGCGCUGGACCGUGUACAAGUCUCCUGGAAUGGAGCGUCAUAGAGGGUGAGAAUCCCGUCUU